UGGGGUAUAGCCAAAUUAGGUAAGGCUUUCGCUUUUGGUGCGAAGAUUAUAGGUUCAAAUCCUAUUACCCCAA
Molecule: transfer RNA, 73 nt
Filed under: Sundstroemia setigera
Lineage: Eukaryota; Bacillariophyta; Coscinodiscophyceae; Rhizosoleniales; Rhizosoleniaceae
Description: Rhizosolenia setigera tRNA-Gln
Rfam family: tRNA
About the family: Transfer RNA (tRNA) molecules are approximately 80 nucleotides in length.
Source: RNAcentral